ACAGAGGGUGCGAGCGUUAAUCGGAAUGACUGGGCGUAAAGGGCGAGUAGGCGGGAUAAUAAGUGAAGUGGUAAAGACAUGGGCUUAACCUGUGGGUGACACGUCAUACUGUUAUUCUAGAGAGGAGGAGAGGAGAGUGGAAUUUCCGGAGGAGCGGUGAAAUGCGUAGAUCUCGGAAAGAACACCGGUGGCGAAGGCGACUCACUGGCCUCCAUCUGACGCUGAGGCGCGAAAGCGUGGGGAGCAAACAG
RNAcentral lists this ribosomal RNA (251 nucleotides) under uncultured prokaryote. Its description in RNAcentral is "partial 16S rRNA". It matches the Rfam family "Bacterial small subunit ribosomal RNA", at positions 525 to 775 of the family's 1533-position model. The record is from RNAcentral.